GGUUUUUUGAGUAUAAUUUAAGAUUUGGCCUGCCCACUGAGAAAUUAAAGGGCCGCGGUAUUUUGACCGUGCUAAGGUAGCAUAAUCAUUAGUUUUUUAAUUGAAAGCUGGAAUGAAUGGUCGGAUGAGAAAAAAGCUGUCUCUUUUUAAAUUUAAAUGAAUUUAAUUUUUAAGUUAAAAAGCUUAAAUAAUUUUAAAAGACGAGAAGACCCUAUAGAGUUUUAUAUUUUUGGAUAUUUAAGUUUUAGGAAUUUUAAUUUUAAAUAUUUAAAAUUAUUUGAUUGGGGUGAUUGAAAAAUUUAAUAAACUUUUUUUAUAUUUAUACAUGAAUUAAUGAAUAUUUGAUCCAUUUUUAUUGAUUAUAAGAUUAAAUUACCUUAGGGAUAACAGCGUAAUUUUUUUUGAGAGUUCAAAUCGAUAAAGAAGAUUGCGACCUCGAUGUUGGAUUAAAAUUAAUCUUUGGUGUAGAAGCUAGAGAAUUUGGUCUGUUCGACCAUUAAAAUUU
This 505-nucleotide ribosomal RNA is filed under the name Pterolophia rigida. RNAcentral describes it as "partial 16S ribosomal RNA". It matches the Rfam family "Bacterial large subunit ribosomal RNA", at positions 1819 to 2596 of the family's 2925-position model. Lineage: Eukaryota; Metazoa; Arthropoda; Insecta; Coleoptera; Cerambycidae. The record is from RNAcentral.